GAUGAACGCUGGCGGUAUGCUUAACACAUGCAAGUCGAACGGUCACUUCGGUGAUAGUGGCGGACGGGUGAGUAACGCGUGAGAAUCUGUCUUCAGGUCGGGGACAACAGUUAGAAAUGACUGCUAAUACCGGAUGUGCCUUUGGGUGAAAGAUUUAUUGCCUGAAAAAGAGCUCGCGUCAGAUUAGCUAGUAGGUGGUGUAAGAGACUACCUAGGCUCCGAUCUGUAGCUGGUCUGAGAGGACGAUCAGCCACACUGGAACUGAGACACGGUCCAGACUCCUACGGGAGGCAGCAGUGGGGAAUUUUCCGCAAUGGGCGAAAGCCUAACGGAGCAAUACCGCGUGAGGGACGAAGGCUUUUGGGUCGUAAACCUCUUUUCUCAAGGAAGAUGAUGACGGUACUUGAGGAAUAAGCAUCGGCUAACUCUGUG
This 432-nucleotide ribosomal RNA is filed under the name uncultured bacterium. Its description in RNAcentral is "partial 16S ribosomal RNA". It matches the Rfam family "Bacterial small subunit ribosomal RNA", at positions 28 to 507 of the family's 1533-position model. The record is from RNAcentral.